UGGCGGACGGGUGAGUAACGCGUGAGGAACCUGCCUUCCAUGGGGGAUAACACAUCGAAAGGUGUGCUAAUACCGCAUAACGUAUGUUUACCGCAUGGUAGAGAUACCAAAGAUUUAUUGCUGGAAGAUGGCCUCGCGUCCAAUUAGCUAGUUGGCGGGGUAAAUGCCCACCAAGGCGACGAUUGGUAGCCGGACUGAGAGGUUGAACGGCCACAUUGGGACUGAGACACGGCCCAGACUCCUACGGGAGGCAGCAUG
RNAcentral lists this ribosomal RNA (258 nucleotides) under uncultured bacterium. RNAcentral describes it as "partial 16S ribosomal RNA". It matches the Rfam family "Bacterial small subunit ribosomal RNA", at positions 96 to 353 of the family's 1533-position model. The record is from RNAcentral.